GAUGAACGCUGGCGGCGUGCCUAAUACAUGCAAGUAGAACGCUGAAGGAGGAGCUUGCUCUGCUGGAUGAGUUGCGAACGGGUGAGUAACGCGUAGGUAACCUGCCUGGUAGCGGGGGAUAACUAUUGGAAACGAUAGCUAAUACCGCAUGACAACAGUUAUUGCAUGAUAACUGUUUAAAAGGGGCAACUGCUCCACUACCAGAUGGACUUGCGUUGUAUUUGCUAGGUGGUGGGGUAACGGCUCACCAAGGCGACGAUACAUAGCCGACCUGAGAGGGGGAACGGCCAACCUGGGAAUGGGACACGGCCCAGACUCCUAAGGGAGGCAGCCGUAGGGGAUCUUUGGCCAUGGACGGAAGUCUGAACGCGCAACGCCGCGUGAGUGAAGAAGGUUUUCGGAUCGUAAAGCUCUGUUGUGAGAGAAGAACGGGUGUGAGGGUGGAAAGUUCACGCUGUGACGGUAUCUUACCAGAAAGGGACGGCUAACUACGUG
This 495-nucleotide ribosomal RNA is filed under the name uncultured bacterium. RNAcentral's name for it is "partial 16S ribosomal RNA". It matches the Rfam family "Bacterial small subunit ribosomal RNA", at positions 28 to 507 of the family's 1533-position model. The record is from RNAcentral.